CGCUACUCGUCAAAUGUCUGACGCAUGGUCAAGGGAUCUGGCGUCACUUUUUUGACGCACUGGGUAUACCUUUGACGUCUUUUUUCAACGUGGGGGGUAGUCCGAUAGACUUCUAUGGAACUAAACAGCGUUGAAAUUUGACGUCUUGUUUCAGCACACCACAACCCAUUGUCUGCCUCGUAUGGAUCUAGACUACAAUAAAUAAAAAUAAAAAGGAACAGGUUACAAAAAAUGAUCUAUGCCAAGGUGAGUCAAAUGGCGGCCCCCAAAUGGCGGGUUUUUGAUGUUUAAAAAGCCUCGCAAUCUGAUAUCAAAGCGCCCGCAAAGGUUUAGCGCGUUCAUCAGCGGUGAGUUUAACAACGCUCACCUGCAGGGAAAACGGCAUUCAGAGAUGAGUUUGACCAAAGCAACGCUCGACUGCAGGUAAAACAGCAUUAAAAGGUCCUUGAUGAGCUUGAUGAGCUUGUUGAACAUUCUGAAUUAAAUUAUGAACUCCAGAGCUUGGAUGAUUUCAUUAAUAAGAUGUCGGGAGAACAGGAGGCAGCACCAUCCACCAGCCAUCAACCUGUCAGGUGGUUGAAGAGAGACAGUGAUGGAAAUGUUGUCUAUGACAGACCAAGGUCAUCCCGAAACCAAAUGGCUAGUCACAGCUACAGUCGUAAGGCUGGUGCUCAUCCUAGAAUGUUGGACAGCAGCGUUGAGCUAACCAACUACUGUCCUCCUGACACUGUUGAGACUUUCCUUGAAGAGCUAAACCACUCACAGGGUGAUGACUUGGAUGAUCAGGAAACGGCACCAGCACCACCACGGGCCUCUUCAGACUGGUCUACUCGAAAAAGUCUCCUCUCAGAGAGGUGGGAGAAAGAAAGAGCCUGUCUGGUGAAUACCAUGGUAGCACAACAAAAUGUGACAACUCAGAUCUGCCAACAAUGUGGCAUCAGUCCAGCUGCUGUCCGUUGUCGUGACUGCAGACCACAACCAUUUUUCUGUGCUGAUUGUGAUGUCAGUAUACACCGAAACCACGUAUUCCACAACAGGGAUGCAACAAUAGCUGGAUUCUUUCAGCCAUUGCCUCCAACAACCUGUGUCGUGGAGAGGGCUCUUUCCCAGUGUGUGUGUAUUGUGCCGUUGGAGAUGCCCAAAAAAAUAUGUAGUUGUUCUCCAGGAUCGUUGAGUGUCAACACAGGAAAAGUUGUUGCUGUGGUUACAAUGAAUGGACGAUAUGAUCUCAGUAUGCCUGAGAUGAAAUGCGAGGCAUGCAAAACCACAUGGAGCCCUGGAGUGGAUGACUUAGUCCGUAAUGACUACUGGCCUGCUACCCUUCACUUUUCCACAGUGUACUCUACAGAUGUGUUUUAUUCAUAUGAAGAGUUGAAGAUGGCAGCACCAGGACUGUCAUGCCAAGCAUUUUUUUAAGAAUGCUUGAUCAACGAACUCUCCGCUUUGGCCGUAUUGGGAAGAUCACAGCAGACAGCUUCAGAAAAAGUUUUUUGGAGUGGGAGGCUGUUAGAUUUGAGGUGGAUAAGAUCUGCAGGGAGGAGCAUUUUGUCUGCCCUGCAUGCACCCCAGACAUGCUUGCUGUUUCUGUGGAUGGAAAUCGCAAGCACUACCGCUUUAAGAAUGCAGCAAGAUCUGAAGAAAAAGCCUUAUUUGAUGGCAUCUUCAUUGCAAAAGAUGAUGAAGUAGAGAGAUUUGUGGAUUACAUUCAUUCUACCACCAACCAUGUCUCUGGAAGAGGUGUCUGUGGAGGGGAGUGGUCAGCUGCAAGGGAAACGUCUCAGAAAUCCUCAAGUAAAAUUGAUGAGGAGGGACUUGAGCUUGCAGUCUGUCGACAUGGAGUUUUUCUCACCGCUCUCAACAUGUUCAGGGGAGAAAUAUAUGCUUAUCCCCUCUACCUGCAGAACAAGCUGGCAAAUACGCCAAUAAGCUUUUUUGCCAUGGAUGUAACCUGCAAGUACUGGCCUUACCUCAACAAAGUCACAAAAAGCUGCCCGGAGCUCCAGCACCUUCUGAGCAUGAAACCAUUCCUCUCAGUGUUUCAUGCCAAAGCCCAUGAUUUUAAAUGCGAGGUUAAAUGGAGUGGAGCUUACCAGCAAGGGGCCGGAUUGACACUUGGCGAGGAGGUUGAGCAGUGUAACGCCUUCCUCUCUAGGAUUGCUGUGACCACGAAGCACAUGUCCAAAGCAGGACGUACUGACAUGCUUACAUUGAUGGCCAUGCGCUGGAAUCAGCAAAAGUUUAAUAACUUGGCUACUUCACUUGCCUGCCGAUAUCAGAAGGCCACAAAACGUCUGGAAAGCCAACUUCAGGACCUGGAAAGCAUGAGAAUCCAGCUGGCAGUGACACAGGUUGAAGUUGAGGGCUGGGUCACUGAUAUUAAGGAGUGGGCAGAAGCAACAACAUCCCAAAAGAAUGCCGAUCUUGACGCAGUGAUCAAUAGAAUAGAGGUGCUGGUGGCCAGCAUUAAAAGAAGGUCCCAGCGCCUUUACAAAGACACCGAUGGCAGCAAAGGUCGGGCCCGGAUCCGGCGCAAAAUCAGAGAGGAGAAGGCCAUUCUUAGCUCUGUUGUUGAAAAAUACAACAGUAUGGUUCCAGAUACAGAAAGAAUCGCCUUUGACAUCAUUCUCUCUGACGAGACAGUUUGGCCAUGGCAACUUUCACAUGGUGACGCUGUAGAUCUGAAAAUCAAGAGGAAUGCGUUUGAUGUUGUGAUGGCUAUAAGGAGACUUGAGGAGGAGAAGAAGAUUGUUCUUUCUGAGAUGGCAAAGCAUUGGAAAUCUCUCUCCACUCGUGCAGACACACUCAAGGAGAUGUCAUGCCAGCUUUCCAGUGAGCUGUGGGAUCUAAAUGAAGAAGGGAUCAAGGGUUUCCUCAGCUUAACUUUGAGAAAGAAGCAAGAAGUCACCAGAAUGAUGAAGCAUGCAAGAGACUGUUAUGCUAAAGUUUUGACUGGAACAAGUAUGGACUUCCAGAAUGAUUGGGAUGGAUACGACAGUGACUCUGAAUUGUCAGAUGAGUUUUAUGAGCUCUCAAGUGAGAAAUGAGCAUUAAGUCAUUUUUGUUGCAGAGUUUCCUUUUUAUGUUUUAUUUUGUUUAUUUUUUCUCCCACUCUAACAAUGCAGCCCUAUUUCUGAUACCGUAGGGGGUCAGAAAUGUUGCUGUGGGGGGCCACCACGGUCAAAUCAACAUGGAGGAAACACUGUUUGUGUGUCAGAUAUGCUUGAAUAAUAGUAUUCAUCAUAUCUACAUGUGACAUUACAACAAUAAUGAAUGUAAUUAAUUUAAGUAACUGUUUUUCCAAUAGUAAUCUUCUGUUUAUGGUAGAACAAAACUGUGCGGAAAAGUUUGCAGGAAGGUGUAAAUAUGUGCAUUGUAAUAAUAAUAAUAAACAUAAUUCCACUAAUGUCAUCUGCUGUGGCAAAUCUGAGUUUUCUGACAGUUUUACAUUGACACACAAACCCAUUUUUUUUCUGAAGUUGGACUCUUGCAUCAUCUCAUGCUACAAAUGGUCUCUGAAAGCAUCCUUGACAGGACUUUAUCAGCUGCUUCUCAUGUGCAGUGAAAGUACAUAGAGGUUCAACAAAUGCAAAAACUGGCCCAAAACUUGAAAAUGUGACUUAAUUAUAUACACAAUAGUGGUUAUUAUAUACACACAAUUAAAUUUUUCAGAAUUUGGAUGUUUAAUAGGGAAGCCUCACUGAAUUACUUCAAGAUUUGCUUUAAUAACUACAUUUCCUGACUAUAUGAAAAACCUACAGUUGAGUGUUUAAAAAUACAGCCUAAUAGCUCGUUUGACUAAUUUGCAUUUGUUUUAACUUGUACUGUUUGAAAAACAAAAAA
Cyprinus carpio carpio is the source of this 3840-nucleotide long non-coding RNA. Lineage: Eukaryota; Metazoa; Chordata; Actinopteri; Cypriniformes; Cyprinidae. The record is from Ensembl.